This 301-nucleotide ribosomal RNA is filed under the name uncultured Murdochiella sp. RNAcentral's name for it is "partial 16S ribosomal RNA". The stretch from base 56 to 301 matches the Rfam family "Bacterial small subunit ribosomal RNA", at positions 550 to 795 of the family's 1533-position model. The record is from RNAcentral. Lineage: Bacteria; Bacillati; Bacillota; Tissierellia; Tissierellales; Peptoniphilaceae.
UUGAGUCAGGGUGGGGGAGGGCGUGGGAAUAAGGGGGGGGGAAGAGUGACCGGGGUUGAGUGGGGGGAAAGGUGUGGUAGGCGGGUGGGCGCGUGCGGUGUGAAAGUCCGUGGCGUAACGGUGGGUCGGGGCGGGGUACGGGCGGGGUUGAGUGCGGUAGGGGAGACUGGAAUUCCCGGUGUAACGGUGGAAUGUGUAGAUAUCGGGAAGAACACCAAUGGCGAAGGCAGGUCUCUGGGCCGUCACUGACGCUGAGGAGCGAAAGCGUGGGGAGCGAACAGGAUUAGAUACCCUGGUAGUC